This 372-nucleotide ribosomal RNA is filed under the name uncultured organism. Its description in RNAcentral is "bacterial SSU rRNA". It matches the Rfam family "Bacterial small subunit ribosomal RNA", at positions 526 to 896 of the family's 1533-position model. The record is from RNAcentral.
CGUAGGGGGCUAGCGUUGUCCGGAAUCAUUGGGCGUAAAGCGCGUGUAGGCGGCCCGGUAAGUCCGCUGUGAAAGUCGGGGGCUCAACCCUCGAAAGCCGGUGGAUACUGUCGGGCUCGAGUGCGGAAGAGGCGAGUGGAAUUCCUGGUGUAGCGGUGAAAUGCGCAGAUAUCAGGAGGAACACCGAUUGCGAAGGCAGCUCGCUGGGACGUUACUGACGCUGAGACGCGAAAGCGUGGGGAGCAAACAGGAUUAGAUACCCUGGUAGUCCACGCUGUAAACGAUGGGCACUAGGUGUGGGGGGUAUCGACUCCCUCCGUGCCGAAGCUAACGCAUUAAGUGCCCCGCCUGGGGAGUACGGCCGCAAGGCUA